Molecule: ribosomal RNA, 253 nt
Filed under: uncultured bacterium
Lineage: Bacteria
Description: partial 16S ribosomal RNA
Rfam family: Bacterial small subunit ribosomal RNA
Source: RNAcentral
UACGUAGGGGCCUAGCGUUGUCCGGAUUUAUUGGGCGUAAAGAGCUCGUAGGCGGCUUGUCGCGUCGGCUGUGAAAACCCGCGGCUCAACUGUGGGCGGGCAGCUGAUACGGGCAGGCUGGAGUUCGGUAGGGGAGACUGGAAUUCCUGGUGUAGCGGUGAAAUGCGCAGAUAUCGGGAGGAACACCAGUGGCGAAGGCGGUUGCCUGGAGCUUUGCUGACGCUGAUGCGCGGAAGCGUGGGGAGCGAGCCGG